ACGGAAGGCAGCAGUGGGGAAUAUUGGGCAAUGGGGGAAACCCUGACCCAGCAACGCCGCGUGAAGGAAGAAGGCCCUCGGGUUGUAAACUUCUUUUACCAGGGACGAUAAUGACGGUACCUGGAGAAGAAGCAACGGCUAACUACGUGCCAGCAGCCGCGGUAAUACGUAGGUUGCAAGCGUUGUCCGGAUCUACUGGGUGUAAAGGGCGUGUAGGCGGAACUGCAAGUCAGAUGUGAAAUCCCGGGGCUCAACCCCGGAACUGCAUUUGAAACUGUAGUCCUUGAGUAUCGGAGAGGCAAGCGGAAUUCCUAGUGUAGCGGUGAAAUGCGUAGAUAUUAGGAGGAACACCAGUGGCGAAGGCGGCUUGCUGGACGACAACUGACGCUGAGGCGCGAAAGCGUGGGGAGCAAACAGGAUUAGAUACCCUGGUA
This 434-nucleotide ribosomal RNA is filed under the name uncultured Pseudoflavonifractor sp. Its description in RNAcentral is "partial 16S ribosomal RNA". It matches the Rfam family "Bacterial small subunit ribosomal RNA", at positions 341 to 792 of the family's 1533-position model. Lineage: Bacteria; Bacillati; Bacillota; Clostridia; Eubacteriales; Oscillospiraceae. The record is from RNAcentral.